Molecule: ribosomal RNA, 406 nt
Filed under: uncultured bacterium
Lineage: Bacteria
Description: partial 16S ribosomal RNA
Rfam family: Bacterial small subunit ribosomal RNA
Source: RNAcentral
AUUGAACGCUGGCGGCGGGCCUAACACAUGCAAGUCGAGCGAGCGGCGGACGGGUGAGUAAUGUCUGGGAAACUGCCUGAAGGAGGGGGAUAACUCCUGGAACCGGUAGCUAAUCCCGCAUACCCUCCGAUGUGCCCAGAUGGGAUUAGCUAGUAGGUGGGGUAACGGCUGACCAAGGCCACGAUCCCUAGCUGGUCUGAGAGGAUGAACAGCCACACUGGAACUGAGACACGGUCCAGACUCCUACGGGAGGCAGCAGUGGGGAAUAUUGCACAAUGGGCGAAAGCCUGAUGCAGCCAUGCCGCGUGAGUGAAGAAGGCCUUCGGAUCGUAAAGCACUGUCAGCGGGGAGGCGGUACUCGAUGAAGAAGCACCGGCUAACUCCGUGCCAGCCGCCGCGGUAAUAC